RNAcentral lists this ribosomal RNA (478 nucleotides) under uncultured bacterium. RNAcentral's name for it is "partial 16S ribosomal RNA". It matches the Rfam family "Bacterial small subunit ribosomal RNA", at positions 28 to 507 of the family's 1533-position model. The record is from RNAcentral.
GAUUAACGCUGGCGGCGUGCAUAACACAUGCAAGUCGAACGAUGAAACUUUACUGACUUCUUCGGAAUGAUUUAAAGCGGAUUAGUGGCGAACGGGUGAGUAACGCGUGAGUAACCUGCCUUACACAAGGGGAUAGCCUCUGGAAACGGAGAAUAAUACCCUAUGAAACCAGACAAUCGCAUGAUAAUCUGGUCAAAAUGUUUAGUGGUGUAAGAUGGACUUGCGUCUGAUUAGCUAGUUGGUGAGAUAAAAGCUCACCAAGGCAACGAUCAGUAGCCGGCUUGGGAGAGUGUACGGCCACAUUUGGACCUGGAACAGGGCCAGACCCCCACGGGAGGGCGCAGUUGGGAAUUUUGGCCCAAUGGGGAAACCCCGAUGCAGCCAAGCCCGGUGAUUUAGAAGGCCUUCGGGUUGUAAAAAUCUUUUGUAUAGGAAGAAAAUGACAGUACUAUACGAAUAAGGUCCGGCUAAUUACGUG